AUGGGGUUCCCUGGCCUGCUGAGAGUUGUCAUAGCCUCCGUCUGCCUUGGUAAGGCUGGAUCCAUCACAGCCCAGAGAGUAACUCAAGACCAGCCAGAAAUUUCUAUGCUGGAGGAGGAUGUAACCUGGGAUUGUGUAUAUGAAGCUAGUAGUUGCAGUUAUUAUUUAUUCUGGUACAAACACCAAGUGGGGAAAUGAUUUUCCUUAUUCAUCAGGAGUCUUACAAUGAGUGAAUACAACAGAGGGUCGGUAGUUUUUGAACUUCCAGAAAACGGCCAGUUCCAUCAGCCUUACCAUCACAAGCUUGCAGCUUGGGGACUCAGUAGGGUAUUUCUGUGCUCUGAGAGACCACAGUGAUUCAGGUCCCUGUGGGAACCCCACAUAA
Lipotes vexillifer (Yangtze River dolphin) is the source of this 385-nucleotide non-coding RNA. NCBI's taxonomy places the organism in Eukaryota, Metazoa, Chordata, Mammalia, Artiodactyla, Lipotidae. The record is from the annotation of a RefSeq genome assembly.